AAUGCAAAUUUUUUAGCUAUGGACAAGCUGCUAAGAAAGAAACAUGGUCCUUUUGAUGUGCCAAUAUACGCGGAUCAUAUUCGAUAUGUGCCAAAGCAUGUGUGCUGGGUUAAAAGCUUGAAUAUGAAGUCUUUAGAGCACGGCCUCCUCUUUGGAAUGUGGUGCUUCAAAAUGAGGCUGCUAAUGCUGAUGAAGAUCUUGAGCAUUUUGAAGAUUGUGAGUUUAUUCCAACUACAUAUAGCGGGAUUUUGAGAAGCAUGGGUGCUUGAGUUUUACAUUUAAAAUCCAAAAAAAGUCAUUGCAAAAUUUGAUCAUUACUUUGCAUGAACACUAUAUAAGAAUUAUAUUGAGAUAAGCAACUGAUACCUUUAUGCAGAUAUGUUCUUAGUUUUAUUUUAGUGUCACAGGUUAGUCAUUGUUUCAUAUGUAUACUUACUACUAUACUUCCUCAAUUUCAUGAGCAAUGCAAUGCAGAUAAGGUAGGCUGGUGGAGCUCAUGGCACUUGCCUCACAUGUCCACCCCUUGAUAGUUGCAGCCAUAUGGAAAUAAUUUUCAUGAUUAUUGUUUGUGAGGUGCAUAAAGUUUGCUGCAUUUUUUAUCUUUGGUUUGCGAUUAAUAGGUAUGUUUCGCAAUUCUUACAUGUAAAUAAGAUUUUCUAUGCUCGAAUUUAUCUUUUCUUUAGUUUCUUUAGCUCAUUGUUUCUCAUUAAUACAUUUUGACAUUUGAAUUAGAUCAUAAAGAGGCACAAUCUCUGUAGACCGUAGUUAUGAAAGAGUUGUUUCAGAAAAUAAAGGAAGAUUUGACUAGGAACUUCCAAAACUUUGAUUUAUUGUUGCUGCUUGUGCUCUCUUUGUAUCAUGACAUAUUACUCGUAUUGGAUUAGAGUGACUUGACAAACAAUCUUUCUUUUAAUAAAGUAAAAGAGAUUGGAGCCCAAUGUUCAUUGUGACAAUUGAAUUAGAUUAAUCGGGGAAUUAAUGUGUUGGAAUGUGUGAUGUGUGGGAUCUAAAAAAAUUUAUUUGGGGGGUUGACAAUUUUUAUUGAACACUGAAACUUGUGAAGGAUGUUAGUGUCUUGAGAAAAAUAUGCGAAUUAUCCUAUAGUAGCACUUGAAUUUUUGAUUGUUGUCUUGUGAUUUCCCUUAUAUUAAUAAGAAUUUCUGGUAUAAGUCGAGUAAGUAGGAGAAACUAGCACUGGUGGCAUGUAAAAAAAAAAGUUGUGUGAAGUGUGUUCCAUUGAUCGCAUCAAAUGAACAAUGUUCAAGAAUCAACACAAAAGCCUUUAUGUGAGCUUUCGGACUAAAGCACUUUCAUUUAAAUAGUGCUCCUAUAUUUCUUUUGAUUGAGGGCAUCAAACUUAGUGUGUCCAUUCUAGAACUUGCUUGUGUAAUACAUUUUGAGUUCACAUUCUUGUAAGAUUGGUGCAUGAAAGUGAUAAGGGCACUUAGGAAUACCCCAUUACCUCAAAACAGCCUACCUUGAAUUCACCCAUAGAAAAACUCAUUUGAACCUUGGCUUUUCUUUUGCUGGUUAAACCAUGUUAUAAGCUGAUUCACCCCUUUCUUGAUUAUCUCCUGAAAUAAUUUUUGAACCCAGUCAAGGGAAUGGUGCUGGCUUGGUUGCUUGUAAAUCGACUUGAAAAUGAGUGAAUGAAAUGAAGUUGCAUACGAGGGAUGCACUCCUAGCCCCAAGGAAAAAAAAAAUGGAACAAGGAAAUGUAGAAACAAAUGAUGAAACAGAAAGAAUAAAGAGAAGAAGAAAAAAAGAAAAAGAAGAAGAAAAGAAACGAAAGAAGAAAAGAUUGAGAAAAAAAAAAGAGAAACAGAAACAGAAAAUGAAAAAAUUCGAGGUGUUUGAUUGUUCAAGUCUCUUGAAUCGAGUUGAAGGGCAAUGAGGUUGGAAGGAUAAGCAACUAGGUCGGCAUCACUCCUUUGAAUUGAUAAGCCACAAUUCAGCCUAUCUUUUGCCAUACCUUGUCCUAAACCCCAUUACAACCCAUGGAAAGACCCUUUGAUUCAUGUAUUAAUUUUCAUUUCAUUGGUGGAGGAGAUUUGAUUCACAAGCAAGCCUAUGGUAAUGGCAUUCUAUGUAUUGAUCUGAGUGGAACCCAAGUUCCUAAACACUUUAUGAGUGGAGUGAUACAGUGAUAUCCUUGUGAGAGUGUUGAGACUUGUUUCAUUUUAUUUUGAUAAAAUCAAUGGGAUACUUGUGUGUUGAAUGUUGUAUGUGGGUUGCAAGUGCUUGUCUCAAUACUAUUGGCUCUUCUUAUACUAUUAAGUCUUAUUAGUAUAGGGGUUAUACUUGAGUGACAUGAAAGGAAAUUUGAGAAUUGCUACUUGGAUAAUUCGUGUAUUUGGAUUGAGACAUGCUUGGGGUCAGUCAUAGUUUUGAUCUGGGGGAAUCUGAUAAGAUAUAUUUUAAAGCUCCUGUGCGUUCUUAUUUCAAGUGAUUGGAAAAGAUUUUAUUGCAUACUGUAGUGAUGUUAAGUUACCCCAAUUUUCUUGAGGGUGGGAGUGGUAGUGUAAGAUAGGUAAUAGUUUUUUACAAAUCACAGUUGGAAGUUAUAGAAAUGAGAAUUAACUCGUGUUAUUGUGGUGAAUGAAUUUUUGUGUGAAGUUCAGAGCUAGCAUGUCUUGUAAUUAAUGUUGUGAUAGCUCCUUUAUGCAUUUUGUUAUAAGGUUCAGAAUGUAUUUCUUCUCUCUACACAAAUAUCUUGUUUGUAGUUUUUAAUUUGUUAUGUUGCUUUCCGAGUGUUAAUUGGAAUGACAUUUGAAAAAAGUGACUUGCCUUGUUUCUCAUAACUGGAAUGAGG
Molecule: non-coding RNA, 2812 nt
Organism: Sesamum indicum (sesame)
Lineage: Eukaryota; Viridiplantae; Streptophyta; Magnoliopsida; Lamiales; Pedaliaceae
Source: RefSeq, a predicted model, not a curated record